GAUAAUCUUCAGGGCAGGGUGAAAAUCCCUACCGGCGGUAUAGCCCGCGAGCCAAUUUUUGGUAUGAUUCGGUGAAACUCCGAAGCCGACAGUAAAGUCUGGAUGAAAGAAGAGAGAA
RNAcentral lists this non-coding RNA (118 nucleotides) under Clostridium pasteurianum. RNAcentral's name for it is "FMN sequence". It matches the Rfam family "FMN riboswitch aptamer (RFN element)". From Rfam's summary of the family: The RFN element is a highly conserved domain that is found frequently in the 5'-untranslated regions of prokaryotic mRNAs that encode for flavin mononucleotide (FMN) biosynthesis and transport proteins. RNAcentral also lists the same sequence under 1 other name. Lineage: Bacteria; Bacillati; Bacillota; Clostridia; Eubacteriales; Clostridiaceae. The record is from RNAcentral.